Long non-coding RNA from Sceloporus undulatus (fence lizard), 201 nucleotides. RefSeq lists it as uncharacterized. NCBI's taxonomy places the organism in Eukaryota, Metazoa, Chordata, Lepidosauria, Squamata, Phrynosomatidae. The record is from RefSeq and is a predicted model, not a curated record. The transcript has 3 exons.
AGAGACUGAGAAGUCCUGUUUGCACAAAGAGAUUCCUCUCAAGCUGUAAGGUCAGAAAGCCUGAAGAAGAUAACAUCAUGCUGAAGAAGUCUGCUUAGAAACAGAAAAUGUUGGCUUCAUCUACAUGCUACCCAUUUGAACAUGGCUGCAAGGGGCUUAAAGGAGUUUAUCCUGCAGAUGUGUGUGAACCUGAUUUCUCAC